RNAcentral lists this ribosomal RNA (776 nucleotides) under Cryocola sp. RNAcentral describes it as "bacterial SSU rRNA". It matches the Rfam family "Bacterial small subunit ribosomal RNA", at positions 46 to 835 of the family's 1533-position model. The record is from RNAcentral. Lineage: Bacteria; Bacillati; Actinomycetota; Actinomycetes; Micrococcales; Microbacteriaceae.
GCUUAACACAUGCAAGUCGAACGAUGAUCCAGAGCUUGCUCUGGUGAUUAGUGGCGAACGGGUGAGUAACACGUGAGUAACCUGCCCUUCACUCUGGGAUAAGCGUUGGAAACGACGUCUAAUACCGGAUACGACAACCGAUGGCAUCUUCUGGUUGUGGAAAGAAUUUUGGUGGAGGAUGGACUCGCGGCCUAUCAGGUAGUUGGUGAGGUAAUGGCUCACCAAGCCGACGACGGGUAGCCGGCCUGAGAGGGUGACCGGCCACACUGGGACUGAGACACGGCCCAGACUCCUACGGGAGGCAGCAGUGGGGAAUAUUGCACAAUGGGCGAAAGCCUGAUGCAGCAACGCCGCGUGAGGGAUGACGGCCUUCGGGUUGUAAACCUCUUUUAGUAGGGAAGAAGCGAAAGUGACGGUACCUGCAGAAAAAGCACCGGCUAACUACGUGCCAGCAGCCGCGGUAAUACGUAGGGUGCAAGCGUUGUCCGGAAUUAUUGGGCGUAAAGAGCUCGUAGGCGGUUUGUCGCGUCUGCUGUGAAAACCCGAGGCUCAACCUCGGGCCUGCAGUGGGUACGGGCAGACUAGAGUGCGGUAGGGGAGAAUGGAAUUCCUGGUGUAGCGGUGGAAUGCGCAGAUAUCAGGAGGAACACCGAUGGCGAAGGCAGUUCUCUGGGCCGUAACUGACGCUGAGGAGCGAAAGCGUGGGGAGCGAACAGGAUUAGAUACCCUGGUAGUCCACGCCGUAAACGUUGGGCGCUAGAUGUGGGGACCAUUCC